GGUAACACUAACUGGAGGACCGAACCGACUAAUGUUGAAAAAUUAGCGGAUGACCUGUGGCUGGGGGUGAAAGGCCAAUCAAACCGGGAGAUAGCUGGUUCUCCCCGAAAGCUAUUUAGGUAGCGCCUCGUGAAUUCAUCUCCGGGGGUAGAGCACUGUUUCGGCUAGGGGGCCAUCCCGGCUUACCAACCCGAUGCAAACUGCGAAUACCGGAGAAUGUUAUCACGGGAGACACACGGCGGGUGCUAACGUCCGUCGUGAAGAGGGAAACAACCCAGACCGCCAGCUAAGGUCCCAAAGUCAUGGUUAAGUGGGAAACGAUGUGGGAAGGCCCAGACAGCCAGGAUGUUGGCUUAGAAGCAGCCAUCAUUUAAAGAAAGCGUAAUAGCUCACUGGUCGAGUCGGCCUGCGCGGAAGAUGUAACGGGGCUAAACCAUG
RNAcentral lists this ribosomal RNA (438 nucleotides) under Salmonella enterica. Its description in RNAcentral is "partial 23S ribosomal RNA". It matches the Rfam family "Bacterial large subunit ribosomal RNA", at positions 755 to 1191 of the family's 2925-position model. The record is from RNAcentral. Lineage: Bacteria; Pseudomonadati; Pseudomonadota; Gammaproteobacteria; Enterobacterales; Enterobacteriaceae. RNAcentral also lists the same sequence under 2 other names.